AGGACGAACGCUGGCGGCGUGCUUAACACAUGCAAGUCGAGCGGAAAGGCCCUUCGGGGUACUCGAGCGGCGAACGGGUGAGUAACACGUGAGUAAUCUGCCCCUAGCUCUGGGAUAGGCUCCGGGAAACCGGGAUUAAUACCGGAUACGACCACCUUAGACAUCUUUUGUGGUGGAAAGAAUUUCGGCUAGGGAUGAGCUCGCGGCCUAUCAGCUUGUUGGUGGGGUAAUGGCCUACCAAGGCGACGACGGGUA
RNAcentral lists this ribosomal RNA (255 nucleotides) under uncultured bacterium. RNAcentral describes it as "partial small subunit ribosomal RNA". It matches the Rfam family "Bacterial small subunit ribosomal RNA", at positions 26 to 285 of the family's 1533-position model. The record is from RNAcentral.